Molecule: ribosomal RNA, 247 nt
Filed under: uncultured bacterium
Lineage: Bacteria
Description: partial 16S ribosomal RNA
Rfam family: Bacterial small subunit ribosomal RNA
Source: RNAcentral
AUACGAAGGGUGCAAGCGUUACUCGGAAUUACUGGGCGUAAAGCGUGCGUAGGUGGUUCGUUAAGUCUGAUGUGAAAGCCCUGGGCUCAACCUGGGAAUUGCACUGGAUACUGGCGGGCUAGAGUGCGGGAGAGGAUGGCGGAAUUCCUGGUGUAGCAGUGAAAUGCGUAGAUAUCAGGAGGAACAUCCGUGGCGAAGGCGGCCAUCUGGACCAGCACUGACACUGAGGCACGAAAGCGUGGGGAGC